AACGCGAAGAACCUUACCAAGGCUUGACAUCCCCUUGACAGAUGCAGAGAUGUGUCCUCUCCUUCGGGAGCAAGGGAGACAGGUGGUGCAUGGUUGUCGUCAGCUCGUGUCGUGAGAUGUUGGGUUAAGUCCCGCAACGAGCGCAACCCUUGUCAUUAGUUGCCAGCAGAAGAUGGGCACUCUAAUGAGACUGCCGGUGAUAAACCGGAGGAAGGUGGGGAUGACGUCAAAUCAUCAUGCCCCUUAUGUCUUGGGCUACACACGUGCUACAAUGGUCGGAACAAAGGGAAGCGAAGGAGCGAUCCGGAGCAAAACCUCAUAAACCGAUCCCAGUUCGGAUUGCAGGCUGCAACUCGCCUGCAUGAAGUCGGAGUUGCUAGUAAUCGCGAAUCAGAACGUCGCGGUGAAUGCGUUCCCGGGUCUUGUACACACCG
This 434-nucleotide ribosomal RNA is filed under the name uncultured Sedimentibacter sp. RNAcentral describes it as "bacterial SSU rRNA". It matches the Rfam family "Bacterial small subunit ribosomal RNA", at positions 958 to 1392 of the family's 1533-position model. The record is from RNAcentral. Lineage: Bacteria; Bacillati; Bacillota; Tissierellia.